GUCACACACACUUGCCAGUCAGUCAAAUGGAACUGUACAUGUGAAAUGUACUGCAAAAGUAGCUGUCAGCACUUUAACAAUGACUCACACUUUGCUUUCUGGAGAUAUUUCUCUAGACGCAGGACAAAAAAGAAAAAAACUCGGGCUUCGAGACAUGGGUCCAACAUUGGUACUUUUGGAAGUUACCUAAAAAAAUUUGCAGAGGCAUAAAAAAAUUUAGGAUACAUACCUUCAUGUUUCAUGAAACUUGUCCAGCCUGGACCAAUCUAUU
Non-coding RNA from Pelobates cultripes (western spadefoot toad), 271 nucleotides. The record is from the annotation of a GenBank genome assembly. Lineage: Eukaryota; Metazoa; Chordata; Amphibia; Anura; Pelobatidae.